UUAUGCGAGUGUUAAAGCGGAGUGCUGUGAUGCUGGGCCCGUCAAGGGGCAUGUGCUCGCGCCUCCCUCGUCCACUCAACCCCUGUGCACUAUCAGCAGGUGCGUGUCGCGUUCCGUGCGAUGGGAGCGCGCGAUCCGCUUGUUAAUG
Molecule: ribosomal RNA, 148 nt
Filed under: uncultured fungus
Lineage: Eukaryota; Fungi
Description: partial 18S ribosomal RNA
Source: RNAcentral